UUGUCCACGCGUUGCAACGCGCGGAUUAGUUUUGUCGCAGCCGUGUCCGUAAUUACAGCCGUGCUCGGCUGGACCGGAGAAUCGCCUCGAUCGGCGAUUGCUGCUACACCCGCCCAAACAUCUCAGAAUCGCGCUCCCUUCCCUACCGCCAGCCCGUGGCCAUGCGAGCAGAGCGAGAUUAGCAAGGACAUUAAGCGAGGGCCUCGCCGGGAAAACACAUUUCCCCUUUCGAUUCCAAUUUGGGGGCAAGAGGUGGAGGGAGGGGAGAGGGAGCAGCGAACUCUUGAAGAGAAGGCGGCCAAUUCGGCACAGCGGCGGGGACAAAUAAAGGCAAAGAUCCCCCAAGCGCAGUCUACAACGGACUGUCGGGGGCAAGUGCUGUGAGCGAGUAGCACCUGUGGCCAGCAACCACGCCCGGCCGCCUUUGUCUCCCCAGUUCCGAUGUUUACUACACAACGCGCCAGGUGGGCAAGUGGAAGAGAACACGAGGCCCAUGGGCUCCACAGAGAGGGGGACAGCUCACGAACGGUGGCCUCGAGACCUGGGAGUAAGAAAGACCUGGGAGGAAGAGAAAGAGACACACACGCGUGAAACAUUUUGAAAAUGAUUUUUUGUAUAUUCAAAUAAAAAUGAAAUGACCACUUGGGGGCGCUGUUGCGCUCAUAAUCCUCAUGUCACGCGUGGGUUAACAAUGCAAUAAAGCUGUUAAACCGGUUUACACGUAUGGUAGGCUGUAUAAUGGUAUUUAGUGCAUAUUUAUGAUGAAAUUUGACCGCUAAAUCUCCAAAACUGCCUUCAAAAUGGCCUAAUAUUCGCUCGCCACCAAGGGGCGCUGUUUUCGUAAAAAAAUGCAUAAAACGAAGUUUAACACCGGUAAAACGUAUUUUAAGCACGCUUUUACGAAAAUAUGUGCAAUAAACCCAGAAUUAUAUAUACACGCAAGGUAUAAACCCACGGACAGUGCAAAAGUACUACGUUUUGAACUCUUAAUUAAUUGACCUGCAACUAUUUAUCUUGUAAAAAAUAUAUAAACAAACUCAUUAUGUAUUUUUAAACCACGGCAUUAAAACCCGGGGCUUAUUAAAACGAACCAAAACAGAAACUCUUACAUUUCAACGACUAAAUUAUGUCUCCGCAUUUAAAUGUCAAUGCCAAACAUGUUUAGAAAUCAAACGUGCUUACUUGAAGUGUGCAGGACACAUUUCUACAGCGCUGUGCGAACCUGAGGCUUAUCAACGUGGACAUUUACAGCACCAAAGAAUAAUCUCACUAAUCUCUGCUGCGGCAUCAUGCUUUCCAUCUCGUACUCGAGUUGAUGGUCGUUGGUUUUUUUUUUUCAGGUUUCUUCCUUUUCCCAGACCAAGGCACCUCAACAUUUUCCCUUACACAUUUAAAAAAAAAACAUACGGAGCGUUGUAAUUUUUGCGCCGUUAUUUGCAGCCUGGGACGUCGCAUCGUGUGUGUGUGUAUAUUCCGUGCGGUCCAGCUAUCGCCACGGCGUCCCGAAAUGUAUA
This is a long non-coding RNA of Petromyzon marinus (sea lamprey), 1514 nucleotides long. RefSeq lists it as uncharacterized. The record is from RefSeq and is a predicted model, not a curated record. NCBI's taxonomy places the organism in Eukaryota, Metazoa, Chordata, Hyperoartia, Petromyzontiformes, Petromyzontidae.